GAUGAACGCUGGCGGCGUGCCUAAUACAUGCAAGUCGAGCGAACAGACGAGGAGCUUGCUCCUCUGACGUUAGCGGCGGACGGGUGAGUAACACGUGGAUAACCUACCUAUAAGACUGGGAUAACUUCGGGAAACCGGAGCUAAUACCGGAUAAUAUAUUGAACCGCAUGGUUCAAUAGUGAAAGACGGUUUUGCUGUCACUUAUAGAUGGAUCCGCGCCGCAUUAGCUAGUUGGUAAGGUAACGGCUUACCAAGGCGACGAUGCGUAGCCGACCUGAGAGGGGGGUCGCCCCACACGGAAAUGAAAAACGGUCCAACACCCCACGGGGGGCAAGAGGAGGGAAGUUUCCGGAAGGGGGAAAAGCCGGCGGGACAAACGCCGCGGGGGGGAAGAAGGUCUUCGGAUCGUAAAACCUUUUUUUUGGGGAAAAAAAAAUGUGGAAGUAACUAAGCCCGUUUUGGCGGGACCAAAUCAGAAAGCCACGGCUAACUACGU
This 496-nucleotide ribosomal RNA is filed under the name uncultured bacterium. RNAcentral's name for it is "partial 16S ribosomal RNA". It matches the Rfam family "Bacterial small subunit ribosomal RNA", at positions 28 to 506 of the family's 1533-position model. The record is from RNAcentral.